Molecule: ribosomal RNA, 480 nt
Filed under: Triticum aestivum (bread wheat)
Lineage: Eukaryota; Viridiplantae; Streptophyta; Magnoliopsida; Poales; Poaceae
Description: partial small subunit ribosomal RNA
Source: RNAcentral
AUGCCAAUAUUCCAUAUGGAUCCACAACACCAUACCCUCAGAAAUCCAAGAUUUCCUCCACAGUUUGAUGUCGACAACCGUGUCAAAACAUCCCAUGACCUAUUGCCACAGAUAGGUAUGCCGACAGCACGGGUAAGCCAAAAAGCCAAACAAUCGCUCAGAUCAGGUAUAAUCACGUGCAAAAUGGAGCGCACGGGCAGUCUGUCAGGAAAAGCAUUUUUUCCAUCAGCAUCUUUGUCAGGCCAGUCUCAAAAUUUGAGGUAUGCUACAUCUACCAGUUCCUACCCCUUUAUAUUGUUCAUGAUAGAAUGCAGGCGAAUCUUUGGUAAAUAUCUCUUGUUUGAGACCAAAGAAACAAUCCAAGAGGAGUCAGUACCACUAUUGGGCAAUCAGAUCUCGUCAGAAGAGUGGCUAGGAUUCUCGAUAUUGUGUGAACCCGGAAGACAUGCAUUUGUUUGGACAACCCAAUGGCCUAUGUAA